UAAAUGUUUUUAUGCUUUUAUCCAAAACAGAGAUCAAAACCUGAAAUUCUUUUUGAAGAUUUCACUGAAAAAUUACAGCUGGAACACCAGCUUGGCCGAGGAGCAUUUGGCCGCGUGCACAAGGGUCGCAAUCUUAUAACCAACAAUGUUGUGGCCGUUAAAGUGUUGGAUAUUGACGAGG
Long non-coding RNA from Xenopus tropicalis (tropical clawed frog), 181 nucleotides. RefSeq lists it as uncharacterized. The transcript is spliced from 3 exons. The record is from RefSeq and is a predicted model, not a curated record. Lineage: Eukaryota; Metazoa; Chordata; Amphibia; Anura; Pipidae.